CUUGGGGUUAUCCUAACCAGCUGUGUGAUGCAUCACCUUCAGAAUGAAGUUCCAGGCCAAGGUUAUGGCACAGGUGACCUGGUGUCAUCCACACGGAAAGGAAACAGGAGGAACAAGAAGUUAAUUUAGGAGAUUCUCAGCGGAGACGAUGUGCGGUGUUUGGAACAUGCCCGAGCUGCCCUGAAAUGCCCUGCUUGAAGGUGGUGAGUGCAGCGGGACUGCAGUGUUCAAGCCGGGCGCCAGCCAGCCGCCCACCUGUCAGAAACUGUGCCAGGAGUAUGCGGGAGAAGAGAGUUCCGCCUCGGGUCUCAUGAUGUUGACAGCUCCAAAUUCUAAGUCGUCAGUCUGCCCACACUCGCAGACCCAAAAGAAAGGAAGCCGGAUUCAGCUUGGGUCCUACCACCCACUGUCUCCGGGGGUAGUCAGCGCCCCCUCCCCGCCUCGCGGGGGUUCUGAAGGGAGGUAACUCGGGCGCGGAGUGCCGAGGACGUCGUGGGGAGAUAGGUGUUCCAGAGAUGAAGCUGACAAGGCCGAGACAUGUGACAGUCGAAGCGUCACGUUCUGGGUCUGAGAGGCUGAGAUCAGGCCGGUCACAUGACGCGCGCGGGGGGUUGCACUAUGGUGUGAUACGAGAUGAGCGGGCCUCACAGAU
Molecule: long non-coding RNA, 652 nt
Organism: Bubalus bubalis (water buffalo)
Lineage: Eukaryota; Metazoa; Chordata; Mammalia; Artiodactyla; Bovidae
Exons: 3
Source: RefSeq, a predicted model, not a curated record